This 486-nucleotide ribosomal RNA is filed under the name uncultured bacterium. RNAcentral describes it as "partial 16S ribosomal RNA". It matches the Rfam family "Bacterial small subunit ribosomal RNA", at positions 28 to 507 of the family's 1533-position model. The record is from RNAcentral.
GAUGAACGCUGGCGGCGUGCCUAAUACAUGCAAGUCGAACGCUGGAGAUCUAGCUUGCUAGAUCGAAGGAGUGGCGAACGGGUGAGUAAUACAUAAGCAACCUACCCACGAAGACGGGGAUAAUCUCUGGAAACGGGGACUAAUACCGGAUAGGUAAUCGGAAGGCAUCUUCUGGUUAUUAAAGGUUAAAAACACUGGUGGAUGGGCUUAUGGCGCAUUAGUUAGUUGGUGAGGUAACGGCCCACCAAGACGAUGAUGCGUAGCCGGCCUGAGAGGGUGAACGGCCACAUUGGGACUGAGACACGGCCCAGACUCCUACGGGAGGCAGCAGUAGGGAAUUUUCGGCAAUGGGGGCAACCCUGACCGAGCAACGCCGCGUGAGUGAAGACGGCCUUCGGGUUGUAAAGCUCUGUUGUAAGGGAAGAACGGUAGAUAGAGAAUAUCUAAGUGACGGUACCUUACCAGAAAGCCACGGCUAACUACGUG